AGAAAGUUAGCUAAGUACUUGUUUCUUGGACUGAAAAUCCAUGUGUCGGCAGUUCGAUUCUGCCCCUGGCCACCA
This 75-nucleotide transfer RNA is filed under the name Sulfuritalea sp. RNAcentral describes it as "tRNA-Phe". The record is from RNAcentral. Lineage: Bacteria; Pseudomonadati; Pseudomonadota; Betaproteobacteria; Nitrosomonadales; Sterolibacteriaceae.